GAUGAACGCUGGCGGCGUGCCUAACACAUGCAAGUCGAGCGAACGGACCAGAAGCUUGCGUGUCUGAGGUUAGCGGCGGACGGGAGAGUAACACGUGGAUAACCUACCUAUAAGACUGGGAUAAUUACGGGAAACAGGAUCUAAUACCGGAUAAUAUUUUGCACCGCAUUGUUCAAAAGUGAAAUACGGUCUUGGUGUAACUUAUAGAUGGAUCCGGGCUGCAUUAGUUAGUUGGUAAGGUAACGGCUUACCAAGGCGACGAUGCAUAGCCGACCUGAGAGGGUGGUCGGCCACCUGGGAAGGGAGGCACGGUCAAGACUCCUGAGGUAAGCCGCAGUAGGGAAUCGUACGCAAUGGGGGAGAGGCUGACAGAGCAACACGGCGUGAGUGAUGAAGGUCUUCGGAUCGGGAAGAUCUGUUAUUAGGGAAGAACAGAUGUCUAAUUAGACGUGGAGAUAUUGACGGUACCGGGUCAAAAAGCAACGGCUAACUACGUG
RNAcentral lists this ribosomal RNA (497 nucleotides) under uncultured bacterium. RNAcentral's name for it is "partial 16S ribosomal RNA". It matches the Rfam family "Bacterial small subunit ribosomal RNA", at positions 28 to 507 of the family's 1533-position model. The record is from RNAcentral.